Molecule: ribosomal RNA, 505 nt
Filed under: uncultured bacterium
Lineage: Bacteria
Description: partial 16S ribosomal RNA
Rfam family: Bacterial small subunit ribosomal RNA
Source: RNAcentral
GACGAACGCUGGCGGCGUGCCUAAUACAUGCAAGUAGAACGCACAGUUUAUACCGUAGCUUGCUACACCAUAGACUGUGAGUUGCGAACGGGUGAGUAACGCGUAGGUAACCUGCCUGGUAGCGGGGGAUAACUAUUGGAAACGAUAGCUAAUACCGCAUAAUAUUGAUUAUUGCAUGAUAAUUGAUUGAAAGAUGCUAUUGCAUCACUACCAGAUGGACCUGCGUUGUAUUAGCUAGUAGGUGAGGUAACGGCUCACCUAGGCGACGAUACAUAGCCGAACUGAGAGGGUGGUCGGCCAAACUGGGACUGAGACACGGCCCAGACUCCUACGGGAGGCAGCAGUAGGGAAUCUUCGGCAAUGGACGAAAGUCUGACCGAGCAACGCCGCGUGAGUGAAGAAGGUUUUCGGAUCGGAAAGCUCUGUUGUAAGAGAAGAACGGGUGUGAGAGUGGAAAGUUCACACUGUGACGGUAUCUGACCAGAAAGGGACGGCUAACUACGUG